GGGACACGUGGUAUCCUGUCUGAAUAUGGGGGGACCAUCCUCCAAGGCUAAAUACUCCUGACUGACCGAUAGUGAACCAGUACCGUGAGGGAAAGGCGAAAAGAACCCCGGCGAGGGGAGUGAAAAAGAACCUGAAACCGUGUACGUACAAGCAGUGGGAGCACCUUCGGGUGUGACUGCGUACCUUUUGUAUAAUGGGUCAGCGACUUAUAUUCUGUAGCAAGGUUAACCGUAUAGGGGAGCCGCAGGGAAACCGAGUCUUAACUGGGCGUUAAGUUGCAGGGUAUAGACCCGAAACCCGGUGAUCUAGCCAUGGGCAGGUUGAAGGUUGGGUAACACUAACUGGAGGACCGAACCGACUAAUGUUGAAAAAUUAGCGGAUGACUUGUGGCUGGGGGUGAAAGGCCAAUCAAACCGGGAGAUAGCUGGUUCUCCCCGAAAGCUAUUUAGGUAGCGCCUCGUGAAUUCAUCUUCGGGGGUAGAGCACUGUUUCGGCUAGGGGGUCAUCCCGACUUACCAACCCGAUGCAAACUACGAAUACCGAAGAAUGUUAUCACGGGAGACACACGGCGGGUGCUAACGUCCGUCGUGAAGAGGGAAACAACCCAGACCGCCAGCUAAGGUCCCAAAGUCAUGGUUAAGUGGGAAACGAUGUGGGAAGGCACAGACAGCCAGGAUGUUGGCUUAGAAGCAGCCAUCAUUUAAAGAAAGCGUAAUAGCUCACUGGUCGAGUCGGCCUGCGCGGAAGAUGUAACGGGGCUAAACCAUGCACCGAAGCUGCGGCAGCGACACUAUGUGUUGUUGGGUAGGGGAGCGUUCUGUAAGCCUGCGAAGGUGACCUGUGAGGGUUGCUGGAGGUAUCAGAAGUGCGAAUGCUGACAUAAGUAACGAUAAAGCGGGUGAAAAGCCCGCUCGCCGGAAGACCAAGGGUUCCUGUCCAACGUUAAUCGGGGCAGGGUGAGUCGACCCCUAAGGCGAGGCCGAAAGGCGUAGUCGAUGGGAAACAGGUUAAUAUUCCUGUACUUGGUGUUACUGCGAAGGGGGGACGGAGAAGGCUAUGUUAGCCGGGCGACGGUUGUCCCGGUUUAAGCAUGUAGGCUGGUUAUCCAGGCAAAUCCGGAUAAUCAAGGCUGAGGUGUGAUGACGAGGCACUACGGUGCUGAAGUAACAAAUGCCCUGCUUCCAGGAAAAGCCUCUAAGCAUCAGGUAACAUCAAAUCGUACCCCAAACCGACACAGGUGGUCAGGUAGAGAAUACCAAGGCGCUUGAGAGAACUCGGGUGAAGGAACUAGGCAAAAUGGUGCCGUAACUUCGGGAGAAGGCACGCUGGUGUGUAGGUGAAGCCCCUGCGG
This 1352-nucleotide ribosomal RNA is filed under the name Klebsiella pneumoniae. RNAcentral's name for it is "partial 23S ribosomal RNA". It matches the Rfam family "Bacterial large subunit ribosomal RNA", at positions 419 to 1779 of the family's 2925-position model. The record is from RNAcentral. Lineage: Bacteria; Pseudomonadati; Pseudomonadota; Gammaproteobacteria; Enterobacterales; Enterobacteriaceae.